RNAcentral lists this long non-coding RNA (485 nucleotides) under Salvia miltiorrhiza (redroot sage). Its description in RNAcentral is "long non-coding RNA (SMIL_LNC014182)". Lineage: Eukaryota; Viridiplantae; Streptophyta; Magnoliopsida; Lamiales; Lamiaceae. The record is from RNAcentral.
UGUGGUAUAUCUAAUUAGAAUCAUAUCUUUCUCAAUUUUGUUAUAAUUCUAUCUCUUUCAUAUCUAUUUCUUUUCGUUACUUAUCUAUUACAGAUUCUGAAAAAUUAAUUAUGGUUGAUGCGCCCCCCCCCUCUUUUAAUUAUAUUUGUUUUUUGUUGAUUCCAGCUUAUUCAAUAUUUCAUUUUGCUUUUUUUUUUUGCAUUCUUUUAUGCAAUUAUGUAUGUCUUGUUUUUACGAAUCUCACGUCGUUUUUUUUCCCUUUUCUUUUCUUCAUCAUGAAUUUUGUCUUCAAUAUGUUAUUUUGCUUUUUCUUUUUUUCUUUUUCCAAUCAUUUUCUUCACCACGAAUCUCACAUAGCUAAAUUGUUAUGCAUAAUGACUUUGAAAUAUGAUUUUGCUCACCGAAUACAAUAUACAUCUGUAAUGAACAAAGUCAUUAUUUCAAUGAAUAAGGUAUGAAACAAUUCAUUUCGAGUUCAAUUCUAA